RNAcentral lists this transfer RNA (77 nucleotides) under Mesorhizobium sp. RNAcentral's name for it is "tRNA-Arg". It matches the Rfam family "tRNA". From Rfam's summary of the family: Transfer RNA (tRNA) molecules are approximately 80 nucleotides in length. Their secondary structure includes four short double-helical elements and three loops (D, anti-codon, and T loops). Further hydrogen bonds mediate the characteristic L-shaped molecular structure. tRNAs have two regions of fundamental functional importance: the anti-codon, which is responsible for specific mRNA codon recognition, and the 3' end, to which the tRNAs corresponding amino acid is attached (by aminoacyl-tRNA synthetases). tRNAs cope with the degeneracy of the genetic code in two manners: having more than one tRNA (with a specific anti-codon) for a particular amino acid; and 'wobble' base-pairing, i.e. permitting non-standard base-pairing at the 3rd anti-codon position. Lineage: Bacteria; Pseudomonadati; Pseudomonadota; Alphaproteobacteria; Hyphomicrobiales; Phyllobacteriaceae. RNAcentral also lists the same sequence under 4 other names. The record is from RNAcentral.
GGUCCCGUAGCUCAGUUGGAUAGAGCGGCAGAUUCCUAAUCUGUAGGUCACAGGUUCGAUUCCUGUCGGGAUCACCA